ACAUGUGUUUGUAUAUACGUGUGUGUGUGUGUAUAUAUAAAUAUAAAACAUAAAAUUUGCCACUUUUAAACCAUUAAGUAUACAUUCUAGUGGCAUUAAUUAUGUUCAGUGUUUGCAACCAUUACCAUAUUUCCAAAUUUUUCAUCCCCUAAACAGAAACUCUGGACCCAAUAAGCAGUAAGACUAUUCCUUCCCCGAGUGAGUUGUCGUGGCAUCUGUCAAAUAUCAUUUGCUCUAAAUGCAUAGGUUUAUUUCUGAAUUCCCAAUUCUCCUCCAUCACUGUGUACGUCCAUCAGUAUGCCAGUCCCACAGUCUUGAUGGCUGUAGCUCAGAAGUAGCUUUUAAGAUCAGGCAGUGUAAGUCUUCCAGCUUUGUUCUUAUUUAACGUUGUCCGGCCUAUUCUGGGACCCUUUCACUUCCAUAUGAACUUCAGGAGCAGCCUGUCAAUUUCUGCAAGAAAGGGUGGUGGAAUUUUGAUAGAGACUGUUGAAUCUGCAGAUCAACAGAUCUGGCAGUACUGCCAUCUUGUCAAUAUUAAGUUCUAAUCCACGAACAUGGGUGUAUUCCCACUUAUUCAGGUCUUCUUUAAUCUCUUUCAGCAAUAUUUUGUAAGUUUCAGUGUACAAGCCUUGCAUGUUUUGUUAAAUUUAUUAUUUUAUUCUUUUUGACACGAUUAUAAAUGGAAUUGUUUUCUUCAUUUCAGUUUUUCAGAUUCUUUAUUACCAGUGUGUAGAAAUGUGACUGAUUUCUGUAUAUCGACCCUGUAUCCCAAAACCUUGCUGAACUUGUUUAUAAGCUCCCAUGGUUUUUGUUUGUUUGUUUGUUUUGUGGAUUCCUUGGGUUACUCUAUGCAAGGCCAUGUUAUCUGCAAACAGAGAUAGUUUUACUUCUUCCCUUCUAAUCUAGAUGCUUUUUCUUUCUUUUUCCUGCCUAACUUCCCCGGCUAGGACAUCUGGUACAGUGUUGAAUGGAAGUGGUGAGAGUGGACGUCCUGGUUUUGUCCCUAACGCUAGGGGAAAAGCUUUCAGUGUGAAUAUGAUGUUAGCUGUGGGUCUUCUGCAGAUGUCGCUCAUCAAGACGAGCAAAUUCCCCUCUAUUUCUAGUUUUUAUCAUGUAAAAUAGUAAGACUUUCCUGUGUAAAAAUUAUAUUGGAUUUGAGAGAUUCCAGAAUCAUUUCAUGAAAAGACUGUAAGCAUUUGAUUUUUUUUUUAAAUGAAAUUUAUAGCUGGGUCCAAAAAAGUUCAAAAUAGCCCAGAGGUUGACCUGGUGCCUCUCAUUGGGCUGUUUUUAUAGCUUUGUUCACAGUGUGGAUUAAAUUUGGGUAAGCAUUUAAAAACCAGUAAAAGUACCAAGAAUCUCUAAUUUACCUGACAGAUGAUUCUGUCUCAGGAAUUAGACAUGUAAACUAAAACACAUUUUUAUCAGAUUUAAACAAGGGGACCACACAUACUUUACUUGCAUCAGGGAAUCCAUCUUUAAAAGUAACUCUGAGUGGGGUAAGGCAUAGCUCAGUGGUAGAAUGUGUGCCUAGCAUGCACAAGGUCCUGGGUUCAAUCCCCAGUACCUCCAUUAAAAUAAAUAAAUAAAAACCUAAUUAUUCCCCCCACCCCAAGAAAAGAAUAAAAAAAAAAAAAGUAAAUCUGGUAACUCCUUUCAGAGCUUCAGUGAAGCUGGAAGGAGGAAUGAGUGUACCUUAAAAGCUUUGUUGGUGUCCGCAGGCAUGGCCAUGGCUGCUCCAGUCAUCUGUUCCUGCAUCAUCCGUGACUGGUCAGCCGCUGCAGCGUAACACACAGUACCGUGAGUGCCCGGGCUCAGCCAGCACCCAGGACCCUCAGGGAGGAAGGGUCCUUACAUAGCACUUACAGAUGCUUGCUUGGCAGUGUGUUAGAGAAUGUAUGUGACGGGUCACUGGCUGGCCCUACCAUGCCCUCUGUGACCCUGGAAAGUCACUUUACCUCUCCUGAAAAAUGGACAUUAUAACAGUAGGGUGAUAACAGGAGAAGAAAAGUAACUGAAGGAAGCUCUAAACUUUAUUUCAAAUUGAAAUAACAAUAACUACAGCCAUUGGUUACUGAGCAAGUCCUACAUGCCAGCUACUUCACUAAGUACUUUGUGUAUCUACCUCGUUACUCCUAGCAACAAGCCCAGGAGAUAACUGUUAAGGUCCCAAUUUUACAGACAGGUAAGCAGAGGACUAGAGUGGUUAAGUAACUUGCCCAAGGUCCCAGCUAUGACGUGAGAGAGCCAGGACCACUACUGGCAAGAACUCUAGUCAAUGGACUAACUGCUCACACCCGGCCUUCUUUCAGCUUCAGGUUUACGGCUCACGUUGCUGGUGCUGAAUCCCUCACAUCAGAGGGCAUCAGACUUUGGGCAACUAAAUAUUGACCCCGUGAUGGCGAAGGAGAAUUCAGAUCCUCAGUUGGACCCUGGGAUUUUUAAGGAUCUUUCUGAAUACCUCAGAAACUUAUGAACAGGUUUAAGGGAUGAAGCACUGUCUCUGACCACGCUUAUAAACAGCAAGGCAACAUGACCAAUCUGGCUCUGGCCUGGACGAUUCGUCUAUCAAAGUAUUUGCUUAUUAAACCUGAUGUGCUUCUUACCAUUAUCUUGGCCCAAAAUCAGAGAGUAAAUGCUCCGAAGCCCAAACACAUUGAGGAAGUACCAGGAUGCAGAACUCACCCUAGUGAAGCAAAAGUGAAACAAGGUUCAGCUUUCCUGCUCUGGGAGAGCCGCGCGCAGCCCAGAAUCUCCCAGCACCGGGUCUGUCCUGCCCCUGCCACACAACCAGACACGGCUCUGCUCCAGCUGCGGGGUGAGUCAAAAUCAGCACGGGUGACCCCCACUGUCCACUCUCCUCCUCCCGUCCGGCUUCCAUAUUUAUAUGCCAGUCUCUGGGAAGCUGUGGAUAAAAUAAUCUAGAGACACCACAGGAAGAGCACCCCCAGGUUCCAGCUGCUGCAGCAGUGUUCUAAGAGCUUCUCAGAUUUGGGGUUUUAUUACUCUGCUAUAAAAAACAGAAUGGUAAAUAAGACAUGAGUGCUGGAUUUGGACAGAUCUGUGGUCAGAUCUCAAUGUCUCCACUUACAUGCUAGGGUUGCUAUAAGAAAAAAGUAAUAUAUGGAAAAUAGCACAGAGACUGGCACCAGUGAAAAUGAUUAAUGUUAUUAUCAGCAGUGAUGUAUUUUGGAAAAAAUAAUACAAACAUCCACUCCCAUGAGCUCUAGGGUAUUUAUUGCUAAAAAGUUUGCCUUGGCCAGAGUUCCUGGCUUAUCUUUUAACUUUUUUGAUUAAAAAAAGUUAAAACACAUCCAUCUUGCACUCCUGAGCCCCAAGAAGCUAGAGAAAAGAGGCUGAUACAUUCUCUCCUGAUACAUUCCCUCCUUUUGCAAGACUCGUGUAAAAGCCACCACAAUCCUACCGAGGCAUUCUGAGUGGAGUUUCAAUGAGGAGAAACUCCAAAAACCUAUUCCACUGAAGUAGGCAAACUGGAAAUCUUGUUUUUCAUGAGAUCCCUGUUUUAGAUUUUGGUUUGUGUUCUUAUCAAGUAAAAGUCCUUACCAGGAUGCGUCUAAUGUGAGUAGUUCAAUUCCUUGCUGUAGCAUAGGCUUAAAACGGAGGGUCAGUGGAAAUGGGACCUUUGCUG
Long non-coding RNA from Vicugna pacos (alpaca), 3646 nucleotides. RefSeq lists it as uncharacterized. The record is from RefSeq and is a predicted model, not a curated record. Lineage: Eukaryota; Metazoa; Chordata; Mammalia; Artiodactyla; Camelidae.